This 299-nucleotide long non-coding RNA is filed under the name Erythranthe guttata (spotted monkey flower). RNAcentral's name for it is "long non-coding RNA (EGUT_LNC001109)". The record is from RNAcentral. Lineage: Eukaryota; Viridiplantae; Streptophyta; Magnoliopsida; Lamiales; Phrymaceae.
GCCCUUAAGAAAUUGGGCCCUGGGCUUGGGCCCUGCUCGCCCCACCCCAGGGCGGGUGUUAAAAAUAUGUGAACCCGUCUUAGACUCAAACCCACAGAUCUUCUCCAUUUAAAGAUCCAAUCCUAUUAAAGGAUCCAUCCGUCCGAUUCUAACGGUAUGAUUUUUACCGAUUUGACGAGUUCAACGGGUUAUUGAAUCCCACUUGCUCACCCUUAAAAAAAUUUGCUUAUACCUCUUUUGUUAGACGGCUCUGCUUACUUCAUUGCCCCUCCGUCCAAUUUUUGGGAAAAUGUCAUCAA